Molecule: non-coding RNA, 2038 nt
Organism: Paramormyrops kingsleyae
Lineage: Eukaryota; Metazoa; Chordata; Actinopteri; Osteoglossiformes; Mormyridae
Source: RefSeq, a predicted model, not a curated record
UAAAGGAACAGCACAACUAAUGUCAGAAAAGCGUUUCUUCAAGACAUCGACAAUUAUACCAGGAGAUGAACACUUAUUGAGCACUUUUUUAGGAUCACCGUACUAAUACUAGAGCCUCCUUUUGCUCUCAAAAUAGCGUUUCAUGGAUUUCACAAGAUGUUGGGAACAUUCCACUGAGAUAAUGGUCAGUGUUGACAUGAGUGGAUCACGCAUUUUCUGCAGAUUUGCCAGCUGCACAUCCAUACUACCGAAGGCCCAAAGUGCGCAAAGAAGGCAUUUCACCAUUACACCACCAUCACCAACCUGGACUGUAGACGCAAGGCAGGUUGGGUCCAUGGAUUCAUGCUGGCGACGCCAAGUUCAAAUUCAGUCUGUGAGUCUCAGCAGAAAUCGAGAUUCAUCAGACCAAGCUUUUCCUGUCUUCAACUGCCCAAUUCUGCGUUUAAACUUUAAUGCUCCCUGGCAGUGUGGACAGUUCGACCUGAAUUCAGGAGGGACCCCCCCCCCCUUGAUGUCUUCAUAUUUUGGCUCCCCUGAACACAUGGCAUCAAAGGCCUUCCUCUAGGUAAGCCUUUGUGUGAUCUCAUUAAAUGUUUCUAAGCACGCUGAAGACCGCUGUAGGAGUAGCCUCGCGUUGGGGUGGCCCAGACGGCCGUGGGGAUGGAUGGCUUUAAACCAGACUGGGCAAUCAAAGGCCCAACAUUCCCAUCCGCUUCCUUUUGAUGCCGGCAGCUGGCUGAUAGGAGGCCUCAUCAAAUGUGACACUUUUCUGCUAUCAGAGUUAUUGUCUGCCACAAUGAGCCUAUCGCAUUUUCACGCCAGCGCACAAGUGCGGCUUUGCCACGAGAAGAAACGUGACAAGGGGAGUCAAUGGAGUCAAUGGAGUCAAUGGAGUCAAUGGAGACUCGAACUCACCAAAUGCACAUUUUUUGGAGGCAUAGGGAGGCAUUUCUGGGGCAGAAGGCGUGAAAGCGGCCACAUGGCCAUACAGAGGCCUUGGGGUUACCAUAGAAGUUACACUUACAAUCCAGCAGGUGGAGCAGUGAGCGGAGUCGCAUGAGAAGGCGGGCUCAGGUAAUUAUCAUCGUUAUCGACUGGCGAGAGGUCGGUGUGUGCCGUGUCCAGCAGAAAUGAAAUGCCACGCAUGAGCUGUCGUGCAUCCCAGCUCUGGACAAUUCAUACCGAUCGCUUAGCAACCACUUGUGAGCAGAGUGGGGGUUGGGGGGCAGUACGGAGGACUGGGAUUAUCAAAGGUAAUUGAGUUCACCUGCCCCCUGCUGUUACUGGGGGCCCCCCUCAUAGGCCUAUCAGCAAAGUGCCCUUUACCCCCCCCCCGCCAGUUCCCCUGGCCACUGUCUGCACUGGGCUCCCUGCUCCCCAGCACUUGAUGGGUCUCCUCUCCGGCCGAUAGACCCUUGGCUCUUAGCUUGAUUUUGUAAAUAAAACCCCUCUGACCUGCGUUGUCAGUAAUUCAUGGCACAGUGUACAGGAGCUGUGUCACUGGAGCAGAGCGCUCUGGUACCUUCCGGAAGCUAUGGCUCUUUUCAGACACGGAGUCUGGACCCAGGUGGAAGAUGGAGGUUUUAUAAUUCAACUCCGUCACCUGCUGUGGAAUUCUCCGCAGCUUUUAAUCGGUGAGAAAACCACACGGUUUAAAGCCAGCUGACAGAAAUUAACAUGAUUGUAAUAAAUGAGUUUGUGCGUCGGCUCGGUGCUCAGUACCGUGCCGGUCUCUCCGGAGCUCCAAAGCCGCCCUCAUCCAUCGCCGGCGCAGCGUCCCUGUGUCCGAUAUGGCCUGAAAUAAAGCCUGUUUGACAAGUCAAGAAUGGAGAUGUGGUCUGGGAGGCCUGACUCAAUAAUGCGGAGUGUGCAGACACCCCCAUCCCUCCCCCACGGAGACAGCAGGCGGUCGCUCCUCUACUCCGGGCUCUUUUUUUAUAACUACUUCCGCUUCUCUAUUUACAUGGUUGCUUCACAAAAACACCUGCAUUUGUUUUCCUGUCAGAGUCACACUCUGGAAAUAAAGCUUGUCAGUGUC